This 526-nucleotide ribosomal RNA is filed under the name Acinetobacter sp. RNAcentral's name for it is "bacterial SSU rRNA". It matches the Rfam family "Bacterial small subunit ribosomal RNA", at positions 68 to 586 of the family's 1533-position model. The record is from RNAcentral. Lineage: Bacteria; Pseudomonadati; Pseudomonadota; Gammaproteobacteria; Moraxellales; Moraxellaceae.
GAGAUGAGGUGCUUGCAACCUUAUCUUAGCGGCGGACGGGUGAGUAAUGCUUAGGAAUCUGCCUAUUAGUGGGGGACAACAUUCCGAAAGGAAUGCUAAUACCGCAUACGUCCUACGGGAGAAAGCAGGGGAUCUUCGGACCUUGCGCUAAUAGAUGAGCCUAAGUCGGAUUAGCUAGUUGGUGGGGUAAAGGCCUACCAAGGCGACGAUCUGUAGCGGGUCUGAGAGGAUGAUCCGCCACACUGGGACUGAGACACGGCCCAGACUCCUACGGGAGGCAGCAGUGGGGAAUAUUGGACAAUGGGGGGAACCCUGAUCCAGCCAUGCCGCGUGUGUGAAGAAGGCCUUAUGGUUGUAAAGCACUUUAAGCGAGGAGGAGGCUACUGAGACUAAUACUCUUGGAUAGUGGACGCUACUCGCAGAAUAAGCACCGGCUCACUCUGUGCCAGCAGCCGCGGUAAUACAGAGGGUGCGAGCGCUAAUCGGAUUUACCUGGGCGUAAAAGCGUGCGUAGGCGGCUUUUUAA